UAGGGAAUAUUGGACAAUGGGUGAGAGCCUGAUCCAGCCAUGCCGCGUGCAGGAAGAAGGCGUUAUGCGUUGUAAACUGCUUUUGCCAGGGGAUAAAAAGACCGUGCGCGGUUAAUUGAAGGUACCUGGUGAAUAAGCCACGGCUAACUACGUGCCAGCAGCCGCGGUAAUACGUAGGUGGCAAGCGUUGUCCGGAUUUAUUGGGUUUAAAGGGUGCGUAGGUGGCCCUGUAAGUCAGUGGUGAAAUAUCUCAGCUUAACUGAGAGGGUGCCAUUGAUACUGCAGGGCUUGAGUACAGAUGAGGUAGGCGGAAUUGACGGUGUAGCGGUGAAAUGCAUAGAUAUCGUCAAGAACACCGAUAGCGAAGGCAGCUUACCAAGCUGUAACUGACACUGAGGCACGAAAGUGUGGGGAUCAAACAGGAUUAGAUACCCAUGUAGUCCCUGAGCGGGCUGGCAAGGCGCAU
Molecule: ribosomal RNA, 466 nt
Filed under: uncultured bacterium
Lineage: Bacteria
Description: bacterial SSU rRNA
Rfam family: Bacterial small subunit ribosomal RNA
Source: RNAcentral